GAUGAACGCUGGCGGCGUGCCUAAUACAUGCAAGUCGAGCGAACGGACGAGAAGCUUGCUUCUCUGAUGUUAGCGGCGGACGGGUGAGUAACACGUGGAUAACCUACCUAUAAGACUGGGAUAACUUCGGGAAACCGGAGCUAAUACCGGAUAAUAUUUUGAACCGCAUGGUUCAAAAGUGAAAGACGGUCUUGCUGUCACUUAUAGAUGGAUCCGCGCUGCAUUAGCUAGUUGGUAAGGUAACGGCUUACCAAGGCAACGAUGCAUAGCCGACCUGAGAGGGUGAUCGGCCACACUGGAACUGAGACACGGUCCAGACUCCUACGGGAGGCAGCAGUAGGGAAUCUUCCGCAAUGGGCGAAAGCCUGACGGAGCAACGCCGCGUGAGUGAUGAAGGUCUUCGGAUCGUAAAACUCUGUUAUUAGGGAAGAACAUAUGUGUAAGUAACUGUGCACAUCUUGACGGUACCUAAUCAGAAAGCCACGGCUAACUACGUGCCAGCAGCCGCGGUAAUACGUAGGUGGCAAGCGUUAUCCGGAAUUAUUGGGCGUAAAGCGCGCGUAGGCGGUUUUUUAAGUCUGAUGUGAAAGCCCACGGCUCAACCGUGGAGGGUCAUUGGAAACUGGAAAACUUGAGUGCAGAAGAGGAAAGUGGAAUUCCAUGUGUAGCGGUGAAAUGCGCAGAGAUAUGGAGGAACACCAGUGGCGAAGGCGACUUUCUGGUCUGUAACUGACGCUGAUGUGCGAAAGCGUGGGGAUCAAACAGGAUUAGAUACCCUGGUAGUCCACGCCGUAAACGAUGAGUGCUAAGUGUUAGGGGGUUUCCGCCCCUUAGUGCUGCAGCUAACGCAUUAAGCACUCCGCCUGGGGAGUACGACCGCAAGGUUGAAACUCAAAGGAAUUGACGGGGACCCGCACAAGCGGUGGAGCAUGUGGUUUAAUUCGAAGCAACGCGAAGAACCUUACCAAAUCUUGACAUCCUUUGACAACUCUAGAGAUAGAGCCUUCCCCUUCGGGGGACAAAGUGACAGGUGGUGCAUGGUUGUCGUCAGCUCGUGUCGUGAGAUGUUGGGUUAAGUCCCGCAACGAGCGCAACCCUUAAGCUUAGUUGCCAUCAUUAAGUUGGGCACUCUAAGUUGACUGCCGGUGACAAACCGGAGGAAGGUGGGGAUGACGUCAAAUCAUCAUGCCCCUUAUGAUUUGGGCUACACACGUGCUACAAUGGACAAUACAAAGGGCAGCGAAACCGCGAGGUCAAGCAAAUCCCAUAAAGUUGUUCUCAGUUCGGAUUGUAGUCUGCAACUCGACCACAUGAAGCUGGAAUCGCUAGUAAUCGUAGAUCAGCAUGCUACGGUGAAUACGUUCCCGGGUCU
RNAcentral lists this ribosomal RNA (1372 nucleotides) under uncultured bacterium. Its description in RNAcentral is "bacterial SSU rRNA". It matches the Rfam family "Bacterial small subunit ribosomal RNA", at positions 28 to 1381 of the family's 1533-position model. The record is from RNAcentral.